This 253-nucleotide ribosomal RNA is filed under the name uncultured bacterium. RNAcentral's name for it is "partial 16S ribosomal RNA". It matches the Rfam family "Bacterial small subunit ribosomal RNA", at positions 524 to 776 of the family's 1533-position model. The record is from RNAcentral.
UACGUAGGCAGCAAGCGUUGUUCGGAGUUACUGGGCGUAAAGAGUGCGUAGGUGGUGCCCUAAGUCUGUUGUGAAAUCUCCCGGCUUAACUGGGAGGGUGCGGUGGAAACUGGGGUGCUUGAGUGUGGGAGAGGUAAGCGGAAUUCCUGGUGUAGCGGUGAAAUGCGUAGAUAUCAGGAGGAACACCGGUGGUGUAGACGGCUUACUGGACCACGACUGACACUGAGGCACGAAAGCGUGGGGAGCAAACAGG